This 257-nucleotide ribosomal RNA is filed under the name uncultured bacterium. RNAcentral describes it as "partial 16S ribosomal RNA". It matches the Rfam family "Bacterial small subunit ribosomal RNA", at positions 335 to 584 of the family's 1533-position model. The record is from RNAcentral.
GUUCCUACGGGGGGCAGCAGUAGGGAAUCUUCCACAAUGGGCGAAAGCCUGAUGGAGCAACGCCGCGUGGGUGAAGAAGGUCUUCGGAACGUAAAACCCUGUUGUUAGAGAAGAAAGUGCGUGAGAGUAACUGUUCACGUUUCGACGGUAUCUAACCAGAAAGCCACGGCUAACUACGUGCCAGCAGCCGCGGUAAUACGGAGGAUGCGAGCGUUAUCCGGAUUUAUUGGGUUUAAAAGGGGCGUAGGCGGGCUUUU